CCUGAGCUGCGGAUACUUGAAUUGUCGGAUAACAGCUUUACCGGAAGCUUGCCACCAAGUUUCUUUGUUAACUGGAAAGCAUCAUCAGUCAAGAUAAAUGAAGAUGGGCGUAUGUAUAUGGGAGACUACAAAAAUGCUUAUUAUAUCUAUGAAGACACUUUGGAUUUGCAAUACAAAGGUCUAUUCAUGGAGCAGGGGAAAGUCCUUACUUCCUACAGCACCAUUGAUUUCUCUGGAAACAAACUUGAAGGACAGAUUCCUGAGUCCAUUGGUCUGUUGAAGGAAUUGAUUGCGCUCAACUUAUCAAACAACGCCUUUACUGGCCAUAUUCCUAUGUCUUUGGCAAAUGUUACGGAGCUUGAGUCACUAGACCUGUCAAGAAACCAACUAUCAGGGAAUAUUCCUAGAGAACUCGGAAGCCUUUCGUUUUUGGCGUAUGUAAGUGUGGCUCAUAAUCAACUCAAAGGUGAAAUACCACAAGGACCACAGUUUAGUGGGCAAGCUGAAUCAUCAUUUGAAGGGAAUGUAGGUCUAUGUGGUCUUCCUCUCCAGGGAAAUUGCUUUGCGCCACCAACACUCUAUUCAAAGGAAGAAGACGAAGAAGAAGAAGAGGACGAAGUGUUAAACUGGAAAGCAGUGGUUAUCGGGUAUUGGCCUGGACUGUUACUUGGAUUGGUAAUGGCACACGUCAUUGCUUCAUUCAAGCCGAAGUGGUAUGUCAAGAUAGUUGGUCCAGAUAAGGGCAAGCAAGUAGAUCCAGUUAGAUUGUUUAUGACUCUGGAUUCAAGAUGGGACAGUUUUAAUAAUAAGGAUAAUGUAGAAGAAGAAAGUGAUACGAAAAUAUAGAAUGUGGAUAUGUUGUUACCUGAUGUAAGAAAGAAGUUGACUAGUUUCUGUAACUUUUGGUUCCCUAAAUUAAGAUCUCUCUUUUGGCUGAUAAUAUCCUGAUGUAUCUCUUGGUAGAUUGUUGAGGUAGAGGCUUAUGACAUAAGGCAUUGGUUCUUCUCUGAUUCUUGAAUUAACCCGAGCCGAUGUUUCUUAAUGCACGAAAACCGUUGUUUCAGCUUCCUAUUAAGACAAACUGGAUGAAAUGAACAUAAGACAGUCCGAGCCUGUAAGAUCAUACAAGUCUCAAGAAUUCAAUCUCAGAACAGACAUUCACGAGAAUCUCUUUUUUAAAAUGUAAAUGCUACCACUCACAAUUGAUACAAAUCAGUUUAUAUCAUGAGAGGACUUACCAAAUAUAACAAUCUUGUUACACUUUGAACUAACAUUCUCAGAUAACAGAGUAUGCACAACAUAUCAAUCCAGAGUAGCUAAAACCCUAGAAUCAAAUUCACUAAAUUGAUUUCAUUUCAUGAUUCGAUUAUUCUUGCUUAUCAAAUCACGAGAGAAAAAAAAAAAAAAAAAAAAGAGUACAACAAAUGAGAUCACCUGGAACUACUUGAUUUAGGAAGCCUCUACCAAAACGUCGACGAGAGUGACGGUGAUCGCAAUAGCUCCGCCGUCGUCGCAUCAUAAAAUCUCCUUCUCGAUUUGUUUGUUACUAAAGUAGACUUUACAGGAAAUACUAACAAUCUGGUUAAUUAAAUUAUUAUUACCGGUUUUGUCUAAAUUGGUUUACUUACUGCUGGUUUAGCAUUUUAAAAAAUUAGUGCUGCUGGUUCAGCUUCUUUUUACUACAAACAAACACCAAAGAGAUCUA
This 1705-nucleotide long non-coding RNA is filed under the name Arabidopsis lyrata. RNAcentral's name for it is "long non-coding RNA (ALYR_LNC002091)". Lineage: Eukaryota; Viridiplantae; Streptophyta; Magnoliopsida; Brassicales; Brassicaceae. The record is from RNAcentral.